RNAcentral lists this long non-coding RNA (1130 nucleotides) under Canis lupus familiaris (dog). RNAcentral describes it as "lncRNA (ENSCAFG00030017012.1)". The record is from RNAcentral. Lineage: Eukaryota; Metazoa; Chordata; Mammalia; Carnivora; Canidae.
ACAGUCGGGUUGUAGUCCUCGCUCCAGGAUGGUGGAAACUGGUGGGGUCUGGAGUCCACGGCUGGGGAUAUUUGGUAGUAGCUCCCCUGUACCUCCAAUUCCAAGGAGAGGCUGAAGUUUCCCUGGGGAAAUCUGCCCCCGGACAGAGUCUGAAUUUAGUUUGCUCUCCUGCCGCUUGUUUAAGGAAGCUUUCAAGAGGGAAAGAGCUAACUUGUUGGGACUGAUGCUAAUAAAGACAGAAAGCUGAAAAAACGGAGAGGUUAUUUUUAGCUGGGUAAUGGGGAGUAAAUGGGGCCACCCUGUGAUAUGCUAAGAGAUGCUUGCUCUCCUUUCUGCCUGGAACUCCCACACUCUCUGCUGGGCAGACAUCUGUUAAUUGCUUCCUGUUGGACUUUACUUUGACACUUGGGGAAAUGGAAAGAGACUGUCUAACCAUCUUUUUUUUUUUUUUCUCCUCCCCACCCUCCCCCCAAAGAUGUCUCUGUGGGAUUUUGGAGACGGAAGAAAAGGAAGCAGGGGCUGAGUUUGUGCGCGCUGGUGUCUAUUGCCUUUGGGUGGGUGACGUAGUGUGACCCAUGCCCACGAGGUGGCGACAAACGACCUCCUGGCCGGAGGACUGGAUGGAUGCAAAGAGGUGGGUGAAAUGGGUUUGCUUUCUGUCCUAACCCGAAGGAUAACCACUUACUGGAUGCUGACCACGUGGCAGGCACGCCCAGAAGUGCUGUUUAUACAUUAACUUACUGAUUUAUCUUUGCAGCAAUCCCUUGAGUCUUACAAAAGAUAAGGAACUGGUUUGCCCCAGGUCACAUACUUGGUGGUUGGCAGAGCUGACAUUUGACCUCCUCUCUGACUGAGGACAUGGGCUGUGAUCUUAUGUACUACACUCUCCUGGACCCUAAAGGAAAUACCCUAUUAAUUCGGGGAAGAAGUUGAAUGGCCCAAACUAUGUCUCACCCUCACUGAGGUCUGUAGCUCCCUUCAUCCUUCACUGUCAUAAAAUAAAGGAGUCCAGAAAGACCAGGGACUUAGAAUCCGAGAGUUAGAAAAGUCUUGACCAUCUACUCCAGGCACCCAUUCAGUAUAGGACUUUUUCAGGCACAGGCCCGAAGGAGGAUAAGAUAGUCUCUGCU